Molecule: ribosomal RNA, 324 nt
Filed under: uncultured eukaryote
Lineage: Eukaryota
Description: partial 18S ribosomal RNA
Rfam family: Eukaryotic small subunit ribosomal RNA
Source: RNAcentral
CCCUUAGAUGUUCUGGGCUGCACGCGCGCUACACUGAAGCUAUCAACACGUUUUCCCUCCCUGAGAAGGGCGGGUAACCUUCUGAAUCAGCUUCGUGGUAGGGAUCGGGGCUUGCAAUUGUUCCCCGUGAACCAGGAAUUCCUAGUAGGCGCGAGUCAUAAGCUCGCAUCGAUUAAGUCCCUGCCCUUUGUACACACCGCCCGUCGCUACUACCGAUUGAACGUUUUAGUGAGGCAUUUGGACCGACGCAUCUCAGUUUAACCGCUGGUUUGUGUUGGAAAGACUUCCAAACUUGAGCGUUUAGAGGAAGUAAAAGUCGUAACA